GGGUCCCCGUGCCCCGCUGACGCCCCCCUCCUCCUCUGUGUCCCCCCCCAGGUCCCCGCCCCAUGGCCGAGGGGGGCUCGCACCCCGGGGACGUCACCGCCGGCCCCGCAGCGCGUCCCCACCCCCCUUGGGGACAACCCGGGGGGGUCCCCGAGGGGGAUGGGGCCACCCCCGGCGUCCCCACCGUCACUGUCACCCCCUGGGCCGGUGGCAUCACCAUCACUGUCACCGCCGCGCCGGACAUCGGGGACGUUGGGGACAUCGAGGACGUUGGGGACAUCGGGGAUGUUGGGGGCACUGAGGACAUUGGGGACAUCGGGGAUGUUGGGGACAUUGGGGACAUUGGGGGCAUUGAGGGCAUUGGGGACGUUGGGGACAUCAAGGACAUCAAAGACAUUGGGGACGUUGGGGUCAUCGGGGACAUCGGGGACGUUGGGGACAUUGGGGCCAUUGGGGACAUCAAGGAUGUUGGGGACAGUGGGGUCAAGAACGUUGGGGACAUCGGGGUUGGGGACAUUGGGGCCACGGGGCCGCGCGCCGCCGGUGGCAUCACCAUCACGGUGACAGCGCCCCCGGCGGAGGACGAGGACGUCCCCGGCGAUGACGUCACCGCUGACGUCACCGCUGACGUCACCGAUGACGUCAUCACGGGCGGGGGUGGCCCCUCCGCUGUCCCCGCGGCCGGAGGUGACGUCACUUCCAUGGUGGCCGGGGGUGACGUCACCGGUGACGUCAUCACGGGAAGUGACGUCAUCGGCGGGGACGUCUGUGGGGGUGACGUCAUCCCCGGAAGUGAUGACGUCAUACCAGGAAGCGACGACGUCAUUUCCGGAAGUGGUGACAUCAUUUCCGGAAGUGAUGACGUCAUUUCCAGGAGCGAUGACAUCAUCCCCGGAAGCGAUGACGUCACGUCCCGGGACCUCUCCGGGGGUGACGUCAUCCCCGGAAGUGACCUCACCGAUGACGUCAUCGGCGGGGACGUUUUGGGGGGCGAUGACGUCACUUCCUGCCUUCCCGGGGAGGAGCCGGCUGCUGACGUCACGCCCGGAAAUGACCUCACCGAUGACGUCAUCACCAAGGAUGACGUCACGGAUGACGUCACUUCCUGCCCGCCGGCUGCUGACCUCGCUGAUGACGUCACCGGGGCCAAUGACGUCACUUCCUGUUUCCCCGAGGCCCCCGCCGCUCGGGAUGACGUCACCGAUGACGUCACGCCCAACGAUGACGUCACAAAUGACGUCACAGCGGGGGGUGACGUCACAAAUGACAUCACCAAUGACGUCACGGCAGGGGAGGAGCCGCCCCCAGCCCCCCCCCAAAGCCCCCGGCG
RNAcentral lists this long non-coding RNA (1330 nucleotides) under Anas platyrhynchos platyrhynchos (common mallard). RNAcentral describes it as "lncRNA (ENSAPLG00000022760.1)". Lineage: Eukaryota; Metazoa; Chordata; Aves; Anseriformes; Anatidae. The record is from RNAcentral.